ACUUAGCCCAGAUUGAAACGGCAUCCUUUUUUACUGUCAGUUCGAGUGAAUUUUGAAGAAUGAAAAAUUUGUAUCGAGAACAGAAGUAAAAAAGAUAUAGUGGAAAGCAGGAAAUAGC
This 118-nucleotide small RNA is filed under the name Polaribacter sp. KT25b. Its description in RNAcentral is "Flavo-1 RNA". It matches the Rfam family "Flavo-1 RNA". Lineage: Bacteria; Pseudomonadati; Bacteroidota; Flavobacteriia; Flavobacteriales; Flavobacteriaceae. The record is from Rfam by way of RNAcentral.